Molecule: transfer RNA, 72 nt
Filed under: Candidatus Woesearchaeota archaeon
Lineage: Archaea; Nanobdellati; Candidatus Woesearchaeota
Description: tRNA-Gly
Rfam family: tRNA
About the family: Transfer RNA (tRNA) molecules are approximately 80 nucleotides in length. Their secondary structure includes four short double-helical elements and three loops (D, anti-codon, and T loops).
Source: RNAcentral
GCACCAGUAGUUCAAUGGCUAGAAUGUUGGCCUUCCAAGCCGAUGAUCCGGGUUCGAGUCCCGGCUGGUGCA